Molecule: long non-coding RNA, 981 nt
Filed under: Homo sapiens (human)
Lineage: Eukaryota; Metazoa; Chordata; Mammalia; Primates; Hominidae
Description: HSALNT0372675
Source: RNAcentral
UUGGGAUCUUAUUAUUGCAGAAACAGAUUAUCCGUUGUUGAAUAAAUCAUUGAUAGCAAGUGACUGAAAAAAUAGAGUUGAGGACAAAGAUGCUCUAAAAUGCUACACAAUUCUCAGCUCCUAUAGACACCUAUAGCUUUGGUAACUGCCAGGAGAAUAAAGAUCAGGAAGAGCCAUAGUAAUCCUUCAGGCUGAAAAUCAAGAUGGAGGCCCCCCAUAAGCGGGUCCUAAGAGUCCCACUGCCUGUUACUGCCAAGAAUGAAGUCACUCAGUAGCAGACUCGCAGCUCCUUAUGCUUUGUGCAGCCAAGGCUGCUCCUUAGCAACCAAUGUCGACAACUGGGUUUCCAAGGAAACCAGAAAGCCCAAUUUAUAAAACUAUGAAACAAAGCAACUGUAAAGGCAACACUAGACACAGAAGAGUUGGAUGGAUGAGUCAUUUCCCCCAGACUGACGGCAUCAUGAAGGCCUGAAGGUGUCACCAACUCCUCUCCUCCAACAUCAGCUGAAAAGAUACAGUCCUCACUUAGACCACCCUCAGAGAGCACAGUUUGUAAAACUUAUGAAAAUGGAAGUUGUAGAAAGCACUAGAAGUUGCUAAAAUACUUUCAUAUGAAAAAGACUCAAAUCCACCCACUGGAUUAGACAAAAACCUGAGCUGAAUGAGCCCCAGCUAUCUACCUAGAACUUUAUCUUCAUUCCUCAUUUGUCUUCCUUGCUCCCGGUGGAGAGAAGGGGAUAUACAAAGAGAUGGCUGCAGUUAGAAAAAGGCAAUAGUUGCCUCAGAAACCCAGCUCCUGGUCCCUCCUCAGUUCAACUCCAGUUCCCACUUUGGUAGAUCAGCCUGUCGAACAAAUGGGAUGGCAUUCACUACACAAUGAUAAUUAAAAUUUAAAUGGCUAUAAGAAAACAAGUCCUCUACUGUUUAUUGGUGCCCAUACAAUCAUCAAAACAUAGGUACUGUAAAUCUUACAAAUGUGAC